Molecule: transfer RNA, 72 nt
Filed under: Streptococcus dysgalactiae subsp. dysgalactiae
Lineage: Bacteria; Bacillati; Bacillota; Bacilli; Lactobacillales; Streptococcaceae
Description: tRNA-Asp
Rfam family: tRNA
About the family: Transfer RNA (tRNA) molecules are approximately 80 nucleotides in length. Their secondary structure includes four short double-helical elements and three loops (D, anti-codon, and T loops).
Source: RNAcentral
GGUCCGUAGUGUAGCGGUUAUCACGUCGCCCUGUCACGGCGAAGAUCGCGGGUUCGAUUCCCGUCGGGACCG